CUUGCUUCUCUUGAGAGCGGCGGACGGGUGAGUAAUGCCUAGGAAUCUGCCUGGUAGUGGGGGAUAACGUCCGGAAACGGACGCUAAUACCGCAUACGUCCUACGGGAGAAAGCAGGGGACCUUCGGGCCUUGCGCUAUCAGAUGAGCCUAGGUCGGAUUAGCUAGUUGGUGGGGUAAUGGCUCACCAAGGCGACGAUCCGUAACUGGUCUGAGAGGAUGAUCAGUCACACUGGAACUGAGACACGGUCCAGACUCCUACGGGAGGCAGCAGUGGGGAAUAUUGGACAAUGGGCGAAAGCCUGAUCCAGCCAUGCCGCGUGUGUGAAGAAGGUCUUCGGAUUGUAAAGCACUUUAAGUUGGGAGGAAGGGCAGUAAAUUAAUACUUUGCUGUUUUGACGUUACCGACAGAAUAAGCACCGGCUAACUCUGUGCCAGCAGCCGCGGUAAUACAGAGGGUGCAAGCGUUAAUCGGAAUUACUGGGCAUAAAGCGCGCGUAGGUGGUUCGUUAAGUUGGAUGUGAAAUCCCCGGGCUCAACCUGGGAACUGCAUUCAAAACUGACGAGCUAGAGUAUGGUAGAGGGUGGUGGAAUUUCCUGUGUAGCGGUGAAAUGCGUAGAUAUAGGAAGGAACACCAGUGGCGA
Molecule: ribosomal RNA, 643 nt
Filed under: uncultured bacterium
Lineage: Bacteria
Description: bacterial SSU rRNA
Rfam family: Bacterial small subunit ribosomal RNA
Source: RNAcentral